GAUGAACGCUGGCGGCGUGCCUAAUACAUGCAAGUCGAGCGAACAGACGAGGAGCUUGCUCCUCUGACGUUAGCGGCGGACGGGUGAGUAACACGUGGAUAACCUACCUAUAAGACUGGGAUAACUUCGGGAAACCGGAGCUAAUACCGGAUAAUAUAUUGAACCGCAUGGUUCAAUAGUGAAAGACGGUUUUGCUGUCACUUAUAGAUGGAUCCGCGCCGCAUUAGCUAGUUGGUAAGGUAACGGCUUACCAAGGCAACGAUGCGUAGCCGACCUGAGAGGGUGAUCGGCCACACUGGAACGGGGACACGGUCCAGACUCCUACGGGAGGCAGCAGUAGGGAAUCUUCCGCAAUGGGCGAAAGCCUGACGGAGCAACGCCGCGUGAGUGAUGAAGGUCUUCGGAUCGUAAAACUCUGUUAUUAGGGAAGAACAAAUGUGUAAGUAACUAUGCACGUCUUGACGGUACCUAAUCGGAAAGCCACGGCUAACUACGUG
Molecule: ribosomal RNA, 497 nt
Filed under: uncultured bacterium
Lineage: Bacteria
Description: partial 16S ribosomal RNA
Rfam family: Bacterial small subunit ribosomal RNA
Source: RNAcentral